This 452-nucleotide ribosomal RNA is filed under the name uncultured bacterium. RNAcentral describes it as "bacterial SSU rRNA". It matches the Rfam family "Bacterial small subunit ribosomal RNA", at positions 335 to 799 of the family's 1533-position model. The record is from RNAcentral.
ACUCCUACGGGAGGCAGCAGUGGGGAAUCUUGCGCAAUGGGCGAAAGCCUGACGCAGCCAUGCCGCGUGAAUGAUGAAGGUCUUAGGAUUGUAAAAAUUCUUUCACCGGGGACGAUAAUGACGGUACCCGGAGAAGAAGCCCCGGCUAACUUCGUGCCAGCAGCCGCGGUAAUACGAAGGGGGCUAGCGUUGCUCGGAAUUACUGGGGCGUAAAGGGGAGCGUAGGCGGACUGUUUAGUCAGAGGUGAAAGCCCAGGGGCUCAACCUUGGAAUUGCCUUUGAUACUGGCAGUCUUGAGUACGGAAGAGGUAUGUGGAACUCCGAGUGUAGAGGUGAAAUUCGUAGAUAUUCGGAAGAACACCAGUGGCGAAGGCGACAUACUGGUCCGUUACUGACGCUGAGGCUCGAAAGCGUGGGGAGCAAACAGGAUUAGAUACCCUGGUAGCACAGAG